Small nucleolar RNA from Meriones unguiculatus (Mongolian gerbil), 123 nucleotides. Lineage: Eukaryota; Metazoa; Chordata; Mammalia; Rodentia; Muridae. The record is from Ensembl.
UGGUUAUUGCUAGGCUUUUAAAAUGCAGUUUCUCAUUUGCUGUGGACAUAACCAUUUAAAAAAAAAUCCCCGUAGGGUUUUUCUUGUACUACUUUGUUAGCAGUCAACCUGUUGGGAAUGUUU